Rosa chinensis is the source of this 1919-nucleotide RNA transcript. RefSeq lists it as uncharacterized. NCBI's taxonomy places the organism in Eukaryota, Viridiplantae, Streptophyta, Magnoliopsida, Rosales, Rosaceae. The record is from RefSeq and is a predicted model, not a curated record. The transcript has 4 exons.
UAUUGUGCAUUUGUACUAUUCUAACUUGCAUCAGUUAGGAUUACGAGGUUUAGGGAAAUUGAUAUCAAAGAGGUGCCAACUUUUGCAAAAGGAUCAGAUUUCUCAUUAUUCAUUGCACAUGCUGAGAUUAGUAUAAACCUUGUGAGUGUGCUAUUUCACUUUGUUCUCUAUGAUUGAUGAUAUGUUUAAACUUACAGAUUUUCCUCUGCUGAACUUGCUACGAGGACUGGUAUAAUCUAGGUGGUUUUCAGGUAGGAGGUGGGAUCAAUUCAGAUAAUUCUUUGCAAUACAUAGAAGAAGGGGCUACCCACGUCAUUGUCACUUUUUAUGUAUUUAAUAAUGGGCAAAACCUUGAAAGGCUUAAAGAUCUUGUUCGUGUUGUUGGAAAAGAAAGGCUUGUUUUAGACCUUAGCUAUAGAAAGAGGGAAGGUAAAUAUGCAAUUGUCACAUAUAGAUGGCAAAAGUUCAGUGACGUGUAUCUUGACAAGGAAAUAUUAGACUUCCUUGCCAAGUAUGCAGACGAGUUUCUGGUACAUGGUGUUGAUGUGGAAGGGAAAAAGUAAGUCAUUUUUAUUGCCAUACAUGUUUCUUUACACAAUACAUACGCUUACAUAAGUGCGGCAGAAAUAUAGAUAUUUAAAUAAAUGCUCAUGAAAACCAUUUCCUUGUGUGAGUCUUUUUUUAUAUUUUGUCUGUUUCUUUGUAUGGUCACACUCUUUUUGCUGUUAUCAAGAAAACAUAUUUUACCAAUAAAUUAGAAUAGUUGAGGAAAUUUGGUGGAUUCCCGAAUUAUAAAUUGCUACUGAUUUUACUACUGUUCAGAACAUAGUGUAUAUGUUCUUUGGUUUACCAAGAGUCGAAGUAGUUUAGAUUGAAAAGAUUUGGCUUAUUGCUGCUUUUUCCGUUAGUUUUAGGCAGUGUUUGGUGAGACUUCUUCUGAUAAUCAACUAGCAGAAGAACAUAUGUAUAGCUGGUUUGACUUUUGAAGAUGAUCCAGUCGAUAAAAGUGAAAAGCUGGAACAAGAUGGGAAACAAUGGGUUGAUAUGUGCUCUUCAAGGUGUUAUGUACCCAGAGUGCAUGAUAAUGUCCUGCUGCAAAAGUGGCUAUAUCACUAUCUUCUCUUUGAUUUUCCAACACCAGGAAUAUUAUCAUGAAACUCAUAAAGAAGUUAAACCUCAGGUUAUGAUUAUAUUCUUCUUUUGUGAUAUUGUUGCUUUGACCAUUCACCAUGACCAUGAAUGAUUGAUGUGCCUUCUGCUCUUCAUUUGGUUGGCUUCCUGAUUUUCUGCAGUUGGCUGCAACGCAUUUAGUUGACGCCCAUAUAUGCAGUGACGUUGCAAAGUAUGUUACUGCAUUUCUUCUUUUUUAUCAACCAUGAUACAUAUGGAGCUCCCACACAUAAAUGUCUUCUCUAAGAUUGAUUUGAUACAUAACUAUGGAAGCUAGGUAAUGGCUGCAGCUGUCUUCCCUUUUUUUUCUUUUUCCCUUUGCUUACACAUGACUUGCAAUGUAACUGUGUGGAAAGGUGAUAUGGGAUUAUGGGGUUUUGCUGCAUUUGGAAACGAGUUUGCUUGCAAUUUCAUGUCUUUGCUUUUGACACAGGUACUUGCAUGAACUUCUUACUCAAAGAGAUGAAUUUGACACCAUUGCUUUGUUGAUCCGGCAUCUACAUAUAAUUGUCAAAGACCAGACUUUGUACGUAUUGAAGUGGCUGAUUAUAUACAGAGUUUGGCUACCAACAUGAUUUUGAGUAAGACUAGUUUUUGCUUUGAAGCAAAGUUUGGUGUUGAACUUUUGUAGUUGGUUGCUAAUAUGUUUAUAGGCUAGCCUUUGUAGGUUUUGGGGUUUUAUUUUGUGAAUUAUGUAGAAUCAUGAAUGAAGAUGAGAAAAUUAAUGGAAAGCCCCAAUUUUUGAAUGA